AAAGUUCGAUUAAGAGUUUGACUCCGUGGAUCUAAAACUUGACAACGUGUGCGCGCGCAGUGCUUUACACACUGCGCAAUCUCAGAGGGGAAGCAGAUUGCUGGUGAUGCAUACCGGGUGAAGUUGAAGUUAACCAUGGGAAUUUACCCCGGGGAGGGGAACAACUCUGGGAAACAGCGGCUAAUACCGCGUACACCUUUCGAGGGAUAGCUUUGACGCCCUGGGAUGAACCCGCGUUAGAUUAUGCAGUUGGCGGGUUAUAGGCCUACCCAGCCAUCAUUCUCUAGCGUGGUCUGUAUAGUGAUCGAUACACACCAGAGCAUGGAGACUGUAGACUGCGUGCCGAAGUACAUCACGUACUGUGAGCACGCACCUCUGAGUGGGUGAAAAUCAUUGUGAUGCAUUGAGGGAGUUACACCCGUGUAUCUCGAGACCAUCGCUCAAUGUUGCGUUACAAGUAAGUGCCCUAUAGCGGUUAAGUAACCGUCGCUUUUCCACAUGGUCGAAGCAUAGACGCGCGGUAAGGCCUGUAUAAUGAAACCUUUAGCUUAUGUCCUAUGUGCUUUCAUACGAGUGAUUAAAUAGCACGAACAACGUAACGUCUUAUGCUCUGGAAAUCAAUUGUUGCUAUAUAUAGCACGCUGUACAGCUUGAUAUACCUAUAAUACUAUAUGGUGAAGAUAAAUGCAGUGGCG
Molecule: ribosomal RNA, 695 nt
Filed under: uncultured bacterium
Lineage: Bacteria
Description: partial 16S ribosomal RNA
Source: RNAcentral